Molecule: ribosomal RNA, 484 nt
Filed under: uncultured bacterium
Lineage: Bacteria
Description: partial 16S ribosomal RNA
Rfam family: Bacterial small subunit ribosomal RNA
Source: RNAcentral
AUUGAACGCUGGCGGCAGGCCUAACACAUGCAAGUCGAGCGGAUGAAGGGAGCUUGCUCCUGGAUUCAGCGGCGGACGGGUGAGUAAUGCCUAGGAAUCUGCCUGGUAGUGGGGGAUAACGUCCGGAAACGGGCGCUAAUACCGCAUACGUCCUGAGGGAGAAAGUGGGGGAUCUUCGGACCUCACGCUAUCAGAUGAGCCUAGGUCGGAUUAGCUAGUUGGUGGGGUAAAGGCCUACCAAGGCGACGAUCCGUAACUGGUCUGAGAGGAUGAUCAGUCAGACUGGGACUGAGACGCGGUCCAGACUCCUACGGGAGGCAGCAGUGGGGAAUAUUGGACGAUGGGCGAAAGCCUGAUCCAGCCAUGCCGCGUGUGUGAAGAAGGUCUUCGGAUUGUAAAGCACUUUAAGUUGGGAGGAAGGGCAGUAAGUUAAUACCUUGCUGUUUUGACGUUACCAACAGAAUAAGCACCGGCUAACUUCGUG